UGGAGUCACAUUCAGGUAUGC
Molecule: non-coding RNA, 21 nt
Filed under: Arabidopsis thaliana (thale cress)
Lineage: Eukaryota; Viridiplantae; Streptophyta; Magnoliopsida; Brassicales; Brassicaceae
Source: RNAcentral